GGCAGAAUAGCUCAGUGGCGGAGAGCAUGCUUAGCAUGCAUGAGGUCCUGGGUUCAAUCCCCAGUACCUCCA
Molecule: transfer RNA, 72 nt
Filed under: Camelus bactrianus (Bactrian camel)
Lineage: Eukaryota; Metazoa; Chordata; Mammalia; Artiodactyla; Camelidae
Also listed under: 2 other names
Rfam family: tRNA
About the family: Transfer RNA (tRNA) molecules are approximately 80 nucleotides in length. Their secondary structure includes four short double-helical elements and three loops (D, anti-codon, and T loops). Further hydrogen bonds mediate the characteristic L-shaped molecular structure. tRNAs have two regions of fundamental functional importance: the anti-codon, which is responsible for specific mRNA codon recognition, and the 3' end, to which the tRNAs corresponding amino acid is attached (by aminoacyl-tRNA synthetases). tRNAs cope with the degeneracy of the genetic code in two manners: having more than one tRNA (with a specific anti-codon) for a particular amino acid; and 'wobble' base-pairing, i.e. permitting non-standard base-pairing at the 3rd anti-codon position.
Source: Rfam by way of RNAcentral